This 463-nucleotide ribosomal RNA is filed under the name uncultured bacterium. RNAcentral's name for it is "partial 16S ribosomal RNA". It matches the Rfam family "Bacterial small subunit ribosomal RNA", at positions 28 to 507 of the family's 1533-position model. The record is from RNAcentral.
GACGAACGCUGGCGGCGUGCUUAACACAUGCAAGUCGAACGGAAAGGCCUUUUCGGAGGUACUCGAGUGGCGAACGGGUGAGUAACACGCGGGUGAUCUGCCCUGCACUCUGGGAUAAGGCUGGGAAACUGGGUCUAAUACCGUAGAGGACCGCACUUUAGUGUGUGUGUUGGAACGCGUUUUCGGUGUAGGUUGAGCCCGCGGCCUAGCAGCUUGUUGGUGAGGUAAUGGCCUACCAAGGCGGCGACGGGUAGCCGGACUGGGGGGUUGGUGGGCCACAUUGAGACUGGGACACGGCCCAGGCCCCGACGGGUGGGAGAAGUGGGGAAUGGUGAUCAAAGAGCGCGGGCCUGAUCCAGAGCCGCCGAGUGGGGGAUGACGGCCUACGGGUUGUAGAUGCAUAGCGCCAGGAGCGAGGCGUUUUGUGACGGUACCAGGAGAAGAAGCACCGGCUAACUACGUG